CCUACGGGAGGCUGCAGUGGGGAAUAUUGCACAAUGGGCGCAAGCCUGAUGCAGCCAUGCCGCGUGUGUGAAGAAGGCCUUCGGGUUGUAAAGCACUUUCAGCGGGGAGGAAGGCGUUAAGGUUAAUAACCUUGUCGAUUGACGUUACCCGCAGAAGAAGCACCGACUAACUCCGUGCCAGCAGCCGCGGUAAUACGGAGGGUGCAAGCGUUAAUCGGAAUUACUGGGCGUAAAGCGCACGCAGGCGGUCUGUCAAGUCGGAUGUGAAAUCCCCGGGCUCAACCUGGGAACUGCAUUCGAAACUGGGCAGCUAGAGUCUUGUAGAGGGGGGUAGAAAUUCCGGUGUAGGGGUGAAAGUGGUUGAGAUCUGGAGGGAUACCGGUGGCGGAGGCGGGCCCCUGGACAAAGACUGACGCUCAGGUGCGAAAGCGUGGGGAGCAAACAGGAUUAGAUACCCCUGUAGUC
This 465-nucleotide ribosomal RNA is filed under the name uncultured Klebsiella sp. RNAcentral describes it as "bacterial SSU rRNA". It matches the Rfam family "Bacterial small subunit ribosomal RNA", at positions 338 to 795 of the family's 1533-position model. Lineage: Bacteria; Pseudomonadati; Pseudomonadota; Gammaproteobacteria; Enterobacterales; Enterobacteriaceae. The record is from RNAcentral.